Molecule: ribosomal RNA, 794 nt
Filed under: uncultured bacterium
Lineage: Bacteria
Description: bacterial SSU rRNA
Rfam family: Bacterial small subunit ribosomal RNA
Source: RNAcentral
UCUGACUNGAGUGCAGAAGGGGAGAGUGGAAUUCCAUGUGUAGCGGUGAAAUGCGUAGAUAUAUGGAGGANCACCAGUGGCGAAAGCGGCUCUCUGGUCUGUCACUGACGCUGAGGCUCGAAAGCGUGGGUAGCGAACAGGAUUAGAUACCCUGGUAGUNCACGCCGUAAACGAUGAGUGCUAGGUGUUAGGCCCUUUCCGGGGCUUAGUGCCGGAGCUAACGCAAUAAGCACUCCGCCUGGGGAGUACGACCGCAAGGUUGAAACUCAAAGGAAUUGACGGGGGCCCGCACAAGCGGUGGAGCAUGUGGUUUAAUUCGAAGCAACGCGAAGAACCUUACCAGGUCUUGACAUCCCGAUGCUAUUCUUAGAGAUAGGAAGUUACUUCGGUACAUCGGAGACAGGUGGUGCAUGGUUGUCGUCAGCUCGUGUCGUGAGAUGUUGGGUUAAGUCCCGCAACGAGCGCAACCCUUAUUGUUAGUUGCCAUCAUUAAGUUGGGCACUCUAGCGAGACUGCCGGUAAUAAACCGGAGGAAGGUGGGGAUGACGUCAAAUCAUCAUGCCCCUUAUGACCUGGGCUACACACGUGCUACAAUGGUCGGUACAACGAGUUGCGAGCCGGUGACGGCAAGCUAAUCUCUGAAAGCCGAUCUCAGUUCGGAUUGGAGGCUGCAACUCGCCUCCGUGAAGUCGGAAUCGCUAGUAAUCGCGGAUCAGCACGCCGCGGUGAAUACGUUCCCGGGCCUUGUACACACCGCCCGUCACACCACGAGAGUUUGUAACACCCGAAGUCGG